CUGUUUUUACCUUUGGUUCUGCAAGCCAGGCACAUGGAUACGUUUGAACACGAGAUAAAAUCUGUUUUAUUGGGAAAAAGGUUUACAUUUGUCAUGGUACUUGGAACAAAAAAAUUGCAAGACACUCCUGUUUCUCAGUAGGUAAGCUGAAUUUGAAAAUGAAUGGAAAAACACACCUUCAAUUGUGUUUAUAUGCCCAGAACAAACAUAUUGUAAGCUCAAAACCACAUCAUUGCUGAAGAAUAAUAGCCUGAUACAGAAUAACUCACAUAGAAAAAGAUAUAAAACAUGAAUGCCAUAAACAGAGAAAUCAGUAAGCAGAUGCACUAGAGAGGAGGGGAAUGUUAAAAGACUAUGGAGAUUAUCAGUUUGCAUAUGGAGAAACAGGAAGUGAGAGCACCCUCAACCGGAGGGUUCAGUUGACAUAGUCCAGUCAGCAAGUGUUCGGUUUUCUCUUUCUUUCUGCUCUUUUGCUGCAUCUUUCCCCUCUCCCUCCCCCUCCCCCUCCCCCUCCCCCUCCCCCCCUUUUCUUUCUAUUUGUUUUACCGCUCAUAGUUUCUACUUUAGCCUUUCCUCUAUUCUUCUCCCUUGCCAGUCCAUAUCUCUCUCUCCUUUAUCGCAACCCAUCCCUUUUCUCUCCUGCUCUUUUCCUUCUUUUUCCACUCUUUUUUCCUUUUAUAUUCCAAUCUUUCCUUCCUCGUCACGCCUCUUCGUUGUACUCUAGUCUCGUUAUACAGCUUCUAUUGAUAAAAGUUCACUUUUCAAGAAAAGAAAAGGUGUUAAGAUGCAUCAGAUAUAGUUCUUUGAAUGCAUCACAUGGAAGCCUAUUCAAUUGGAACAAUAAAAUUUGGUUAAUGCAGAAAAGAUUUGUCAUGAAAUCCCAUUACGAUAUAAAUCACUCCAAAUAAUGAUACAAGCAGCUGAUAUUGGAGGCAUUUCAAACAUUCG
RNAcentral lists this long non-coding RNA (948 nucleotides) under Amborella trichopoda. Its description in RNAcentral is "long non-coding RNA (ATRI_LNC003257)". The record is from RNAcentral. Lineage: Eukaryota; Viridiplantae; Streptophyta; Magnoliopsida; Amborellales; Amborellaceae.